UACAGGGGGUGCAAACGUUGCUCGGAAUUAUUGGGCGUAAAGCGCGCGUAGGCGGCUACUUAUGUCGGAUGUGAAAGCCCUUGGCUCAACUGAGGAAGUGCACCCGAAACUGAGUAGCUGGAGUACGAAAGAGGGUCGCGGAAUUCCCGGUGUAGAGGUGAAAUUCGUAGAUAUUCGGAAGAACACCAGUGGGGAAGGCGACUCGCUGGACAAGUAUUGACGCUGAGGUGCGAAAGCGUGGGGAGCAAACAGG
RNAcentral lists this ribosomal RNA (253 nucleotides) under uncultured bacterium. RNAcentral's name for it is "partial 16S ribosomal RNA". It matches the Rfam family "Bacterial small subunit ribosomal RNA", at positions 524 to 776 of the family's 1533-position model. The record is from RNAcentral.